UGGCCGUCGUCAGUUCGUACUGUGAAGCAUCCUGUUAAGUCAGGCAACGAGCGAGACCCACGCCAACAGUUGCUAGCUCGUCCUCCGGGAUGGAGAGGACACUGUUGGGACCGCCUCUGCUAAAGAGGAGGAAGGAAUGGGCAACGGUAGGUCAGCAUGCCCCGAAUUAUCUGGGCUACACGCGGGCUACAAUGGGUGGGACAAUGGGUAUCGACACCGAAAGGUGAAGGCAAUCUCCUAAACCCAUCCUUAGUUCGGAUUGUGGGUUGCAACUCACCCACAUGAAGCUGGAAUCCGCAGUAAUCGUGUCUCAAAAUGGCACGGUGAAUAUGUCCCUGCUCCUUGCACACACC
This 353-nucleotide ribosomal RNA is filed under the name uncultured Methanoregula sp. Its description in RNAcentral is "bacterial SSU rRNA". It matches the Rfam family "Archaeal small subunit ribosomal RNA", at positions 995 to 1347 of the family's 1478-position model. The record is from RNAcentral. Lineage: Archaea; Methanobacteriati; Methanobacteriota; Methanomicrobia; Methanomicrobiales; Methanoregulaceae.